This is a long non-coding RNA of Varanus komodoensis (Komodo dragon), 2591 nucleotides long. RefSeq lists it as uncharacterized. The record is from RefSeq and is a predicted model, not a curated record. NCBI's taxonomy places the organism in Eukaryota, Metazoa, Chordata, Lepidosauria, Squamata, Varanidae. The transcript is spliced from 3 exons.
AUAAACACUCAAAAUACGAUUUGCUCUUGUCGUUGUUUCGGUCUUUAAUACCUUUUUCUUCCCAUUUUCCAAAUGUUAAAAAGAAAGAAAAAAUACAUCCUUUCGUCUCUCAAAUAGACUCACACCCUGCUUAUCGUAUGUACAGGUCGGUGCACCUUCGACUUGCAUCUUCUUGGGAAAGGAAUACAUAAAUAAGAAUACUAUGCAUGUACCGAAAAUUUGAAAUACGUGACUCAAGCAUAUUCUUAUUGUGAAACUUUCAGAAAUAAAAUAAGUCUCCUUCGAGCCGGAAUCGAACCAGCGACCUAAGGAUUUCUAUGUCAGAUAUGCUUCUACAGUCCUCCGCUCUACCAGCUGAGCUAUCGAAGGGACGCCGAGUGAAAUCUUCUAUUUUCAGUAUACAAAGACUCUACGAAGACGUGGAAAAUAAGAUGCAUCAAGAAAAAAGGAAAUUUUUCAGUAUUAUCAUCGUCUCAGGAAUGGUACGAUCUUUCCCUUAACAAGAAUAUUUAGUCUGCAGGUGUAUAUUUAAUUUAUUAUUUUAAACGAAGAGCAAAACGGAAUGUUAGUCUAGUUCCUAGGACAACAGUUCCUAUAGCAUUAACAGGAGUAUUAACUGGUGCUCUAUAGUACGAAAAUGUCAUUUCAGUUACUGGAGAUUUCUGUGAACAUUUGUCAUUUAAACUGCCUCGUCAGUAAGUAGGAGUGUUACGACGCCACGUGAAAAAGCCUCACCUGUUAACACUUUCGCCUCGAUCGUAUGCAUAUUUAUUGAAAUCCCACUUGAGGUCGACUGGACUUGCUUCCAGCAAGCGUGCAGAGAAUUGCGGCCUAAAAGCAUAAUCCUAUGCACGUCAACUCCGAAACAAGUUCCACUGAGGUUCCUGCUGGAAAACUCCUUCUCCCACUUGCUAUUGUGAAGAUUGCAGUUAAGCGCAGAGAAAAUAAGGAAGUGGAAGGGUUGGUGACGUCAGCACCCUGGAUCUGAGAUCUCCUCAGCAAACUGGUAUAUCAAAAGCUGCUACUAUGGAAGACCUCUUUCCCAUUCAUUUUACUAUAUAUACAAGAAAUGGCUUUGCUGUUCAAGGUCAAGCAUGUUUGUCUUUAAUUUCAUAAACAGUCUUUGAUUUGAUAAAUCAUGGGCUUCAGUGAUUAAACUAAAUGUGUGCAUGCAUGUGCGUGCACACAUGACUAGCAAAUAAUAGACAAAGGAAAGACACUCCAGAAAUUCUUAAUACUCUGCUAACCAGGUUAAACAUUUUUCAUAAAUUUACUAAAUAGGACUCUCAAUAAAGUGGCAAUCUUGCAAUCAGUGCUUAACCGAACUAAAUUCAGCAACUAAAUUGCAAGUAAAUGCUAUUGAGGUCAAUAGGAAAUCAGCAUUUAUUUGUGGAUUUCAGUCUCAAAACUUUGAUGGGGAUCAGCUACAUACUGAGUGCACAAUCAUAAAAUAUUUAACUUUAGAUUUUAGAUUCAACUUUUCCCAAACACUCACAAAAACAAGAUUUUCAUACAUCUUCUAAGCAUAGAAUAUUUUCAUUUCAGAAAUAAGCACUGUGAAAGUCUUUCACUUUUGUAUCCUCUCUUUUGCACAUGUUAAAACAUGCAAAAGAGAGGAUACAAAAGUGAAAUAACUGGUACUGUAGUUUCCUGGCUAGGAGAAAAGGCUCAAAACAUCAUGCAGGCAAAGUUCUACAAGAGAGAGGAAAAGUAUAAGCUACUAGUCAAGAAAACCAGCUUAAAUUAUUCAUCCAUAAUGCUCCAGCUUCACAGUUCUUGCUGAUGUAUGUGAGAAUCUUGAGUAGAUUAUAUUGAUACCCUUUUUUCUAUAGUACACAGAACCACUAUCAUAUUUUUGUUAUAAAAUGCUGCCAUCAGGCAGUAUAUUCAUGAUAAAAGUUUAAGCCAGCUCUAAAAUGCCUUGGUUCUCCACAGAAGAAUUUUGGCAAUUGUAGUUCUGUGAAGUUGCUAUAAGUCAACAAUAAAGAAUUUACCUCAUACCUAUAGUACUGCUAUUUUGAGAGUUAUUUAAUGGAAGCUACAGUAGUUAAACCAGUUUUCAAAAUAAUUUAGAUAUCCACUGCAAAUGCCUCUGUCAGAGAAAACACAGCCACUUUCAUCACACCAACCAUAUUACAAGCUAGGUAUGAAAUCUGACAAAAGUAUUCCUGUGCCAAAAAGUUCUCCUAGCCAAGCACAAUCCUUUAUGGAUGCAUCAACAGCUUCUUUGGGUAAUGACCAUAAACUUAGUUGUGUAUUUACUAGAAGUUACAGUGGCUUUCUGUACAGAGCAGCAAGCACCGUGUUCUCAGUGUGAUCAAGUCUAAAAAAUCAUAUGUAACCCAUGUUUGAUCAAAUUAAACAACAAAAAUAGCAAGAUUGUGUAUUUAAACUAAUUUAUUCAUGAAAGUAUUUUUGUAUGUUUUAUAUAUAAGCUGUGUACUAAAUGAUAAAAUGUGUUCCCUGUAUGAGAGAAACAAAAACAGUGUUCAAAUGGAUUAAUAUACUUGAAUGAACUGAAGCAGCUGUACCUUCAGUUAAUUACCUGUGUAAAAAAAUAAAGCUUCCCUUAAUUGGGAUAUUCAAUUGUA